This 76-nucleotide microRNA precursor is filed under the name Pan troglodytes (chimpanzee). RNAcentral's name for it is "microRNA ptr-mir-208b precursor". Its record names the gene ptr-mir-208b. It matches the Rfam family "mir-208 microRNA precursor family". The record is from miRBase by way of RNAcentral. Lineage: Eukaryota; Metazoa; Chordata; Mammalia; Primates; Hominidae.
CCUCUCAGGGAAGCUUUUUGCUCGAAUUAUGUUUCUGAUCCGAAUAUAAGACGAACAAAAGGUUUGUCUGAGGGCA